Molecule: long non-coding RNA, 2000 nt
Filed under: Macaca mulatta (Rhesus monkey)
Lineage: Eukaryota; Metazoa; Chordata; Mammalia; Primates; Cercopithecidae
Description: lncRNA (ENSMMUG00000059467.1)
Source: RNAcentral
GGCAUAGAGUGUACGUCAACAUCCCAAACUAAGCACCCAUCACAGUUAUUCCCAACUCGCAGGAAAGCUAGAAAAUUUAGAAGGCUUAAAACAUAAUUAUAAAUGAAAAUAACAAGAAAUCAAAGUUUUUGAGGAGCAAUUGUUAGCCAAGCAAGGAAAGCCAUUAACCAGUGCUGAUUACAUUGCAUUUGAUUACAGCAGCCAAAGACGUGUCCAGAGGAAGAGACUUUUAAAGAUUAGUCUUUCGGUAAGAAUGGUUGCUUAACAAGUUCAGACUACUGGGGUACACCAAUUAUCAAUUAAAAAGCAAGGCAAACUAGUGUGAGUCAUUUUCCUUAAUCCUUAAUGCGUCAAAAAUUACCACAUUGGCCAAGCUGGUCUCCAACUCCUGACCUCAGGGGAUCUGCCCGCCCCGGCCUCCCAAAGUGCUGGGAUUACAGGCGUGAGCCACCACGCCUGGCUGAGAACUGUUUGACAGAGGCUGAGGGGAGGCUCCUGUCCCUUCCUGGGACAUCCACAUCCCACCCAGUUUCCCAUAUCGACUAUGACACUCGAAGCAUCACAGCAAGGGCAGCUGCAUCCCCGCAGUUCUCUGCACUCAUGCCACAGCUGCGUGAGCAGCCGCAGCCCUGGAGCUGCCACUCAGCCUUAUCGUGCUGGCACAAGCACAUCAGAAACUACCAAGCCCCCAAGAGGGAGGAUUGGGGACCCAGGGGAGUGAACCAGGAGGGAGGAAUGCGUGGGGGCCCAGGGCAGUGAACCAGGAGGGAGGAGGGUGGAGUUCGGCCCAGGGAGUGAACCAGGAGGGAGGUGGCUGGAGUGGUCCAGGGAGUGAACCAGGAGGGAGGAUUGGGGGCCCAGGGAGUGAACCAGGAGGGAGGAAGUGGUCGGGUCCAGGGGGAGGUGGGUCCAGGGAGGGAGGAGGGGAGGGAAAGCGGUCCAGGGAAUGAAGCAGAAGGGCUCUGGGGGUAGCAAGUUCACACACCACAAAUACCUCCCAAUCCAUCCGCGUGCAGGGAGGGGAUGGAAACCACACAGGACCUGCAGCACUUUCUCCUCGCAGAUGAGGAGUGAGGAUACCGACUCAUGCACAAAUCAGAGCUAAAUUUCUACCACGGUGGGGAGACGCUUCAAGACCCAAAUGGGUCAAAAAGAAACCAAUCAUACAAGAUCAGUGGAUGGAAGGAAUCAGUAAGCCUGUAACAGUUUCAGAAAAAACUUCACUUAUCUGCAAGAUGACUGCAGCUCUGCUUGAUCAUUUCUGCAAAUGUCUAACUCGCGAUGAGCCAUCUCAGAGCCUUCAAGAGGAGUAACAAAAUCAAAACGCCACGGCAUCCUCCGUAUUUUAGAUAGCCUGCAACAGUAUGGAAAUGAGCAGCGGUGCCAGAGCUUUCAAGUUUGUUUGAAGUAAAUUCCAGCAUCAGGGCAGCAUCUUCCUGGCUGAAGCAAUGAGGUAGGCUCCUGCUCACCGCAUGGGAGACCAGCUUUCAGCUAAGCUGCUGUUAAGGGUCUGCAAACCAUGAUCCCCGACCGAGCCUUGGCCAGGGAUUUUUACACGUUGAAGUUUUCACAAAAGAAAUAUAUGCAGAGACUUCUGUGGCCCUCAAAGCAUAACACGUUGCCUACUCUGCCCUUUACAGGAGCUUCUAGCUUUGCUGUCAGUUACAAAGUGUUUCUAUAAAAUAAUGUCACUGAUUCUCAAGCAUGCCAGCAAAAGUCACACUUCUCAACAACCCUCAAUGGAGAUGCACCAUCCUGUGUUUCACACAGAUUUUAGAUUUUUAAAAGCCAAAAUAAGGGAGGUAAUUCAGCUAAGUAUUAUAGUAACACAAUUUGAGAUACUUAAUGAUGUGUGACAACAGAAUACUUGGCAUUCCUGUGAGGCAAUAAACUAGCUCAAACACAAAAUAACAAAUCAAAGCAUGUUUUGGCCUCUCAAAGUGAUCAGUGAAAUUGGAAAUAACAUUCAGUUAAAUGACACUAAAAAAAAAAAAAAAAAA